UACGAACCGUCCAAACGUUAUUCGGAAUCACUGGGCUUAAAGGGUGCGUAGGCGGCUUGUUAAGUUGGGUGUGAAAUACCUCGGCUCAACCGAGGAAUUGCGCUCAAAACUAGCAAGCUCGAGGGAGACAGAGGUGAGCGGAACUUAGGGUGGAGCGGUGAAAUGCGUUGAUAUCCUAAGGAACACCGGUGGCGAAAGCGGCUCACUGGGUCUCUUCUGACGCUGAGGCACGAAAGCUAGGGGAG
Molecule: ribosomal RNA, 245 nt
Filed under: uncultured bacterium
Lineage: Bacteria
Description: partial 16S ribosomal RNA
Rfam family: Bacterial small subunit ribosomal RNA
Source: RNAcentral